UACGGAGGUUGCGAGCGUUAAUCGGAAUGACUGGGCGUAAAGGGCAUGUAGGCGGAUGAAUAAGUUAGGUGUGAAAGCCCCUGGCUCAACUUGGGAAUAGCAUUUGAAACUGUUCGUCUGGAGUACUGUAGAGGGAGGUGGAAUUCCACGUGUAGCGGUGAAAUGCGUAGAGAUGUGGAGGAAUACCGGUGGCGAAGGCGGCCUUCUGGACAGAUACUGACGCUGAGAUGCGAAAGCGUGGGGAGCAAACAGG
RNAcentral lists this ribosomal RNA (253 nucleotides) under uncultured bacterium. RNAcentral describes it as "partial 16S ribosomal RNA". It matches the Rfam family "Bacterial small subunit ribosomal RNA", at positions 524 to 776 of the family's 1533-position model. The record is from RNAcentral.